RNAcentral lists this ribosomal RNA (230 nucleotides) under uncultured bacterium. RNAcentral describes it as "partial 16S ribosomal RNA". It matches the Rfam family "Bacterial small subunit ribosomal RNA", at positions 118 to 347 of the family's 1533-position model. The record is from RNAcentral.
UGAGCAAUCUGCCCUUCACAUCGGAAUAACCAUUGGAAACGAUGGCUAAUACCGAAUAUGACUUCGGAUCGCAUGAUCUGAAGUGGAAAGCUCCGGCGGUGAAGGAUGAGCCCGCGGCCUAUCAGCUAGUUGGUGUGGGUAAUGGCCCACCAAGGCGACGACGGGUAGCCGGCCUGAGAGGGUGACCCGGCCACACUGGGACUGAGACACGGCCCAGACCUCUACGGGAG